Molecule: long non-coding RNA, 562 nt
Organism: Parasteatoda tepidariorum (common house spider)
Lineage: Eukaryota; Metazoa; Arthropoda; Arachnida; Araneae; Theridiidae
Source: RefSeq, a predicted model, not a curated record
UUUAAGUGUAAGGCACUGAAACUAUGGCUUUUUUAUUCUCCUCGGCGACAGAGGUCCCAGCGAUAACCUAUUCGAUUGAACCCUUCAUAUUCUCCGAUUUAUUCUCCAUAUUUCAAUUUAAUUGUUCCUUUACUCAUUGGAUGGUCAUCUCCCCUCGACAUUAAAGAGAAAUCCAGUUAUUGAGAGGACUUGGUUUCCCAGCACGUGCGAAAAAUCACUCGCCUGAAACUGAUGACGUCAAAACUGCGUUAGUUGGAUCGUAGAUUAGAACAAAAGAACCAGUAGAUCUUCCGGAUGAAAAGAUGCCAGGUUAUGUAGCAGAAGAGCUAGAAGACUGGUGUCGAGACACUGAAAACGUCCCAGAAUUUCAAACUUUAUAUGAUGAUAAAAUUUUUGCUGAAAUAUUGGAUAAAAAUCAGAACUCCACAGAUGAAGAGGAAGAAGUAGGUGAUGAAGUUCUAGAUAGUGGACCUUCUCAUAUAGAAGCAUGCAAUUCAUUAGAUAUUGCAAUGAAUUGGCUAGAACGUCAAAAUGAUGUUGAUACAGUUCAGUUCAUUUAUUA